This 529-nucleotide ribosomal RNA is filed under the name uncultured marine bacterium. RNAcentral's name for it is "bacterial SSU rRNA". It matches the Rfam family "Bacterial small subunit ribosomal RNA", at positions 15 to 526 of the family's 1533-position model. The record is from RNAcentral.
GAUCAUGGCUCAGAUGAACGCUGGCGGCGUGCCUAAUACAUGCAAGUCGAGCGAACUGAUUAGAAGCUUGCUUCUAUGACGUUAGCGGCGGACGGNUGAGUAACACGUGGGCAACCUGCCUGUAAGACUGGGAUAANUUCGGGAAACCGAAGCUAAUACCGGAUAGGAUCUUCUCCUUCAUGGGAGAUGAUUGAAAGAUGGUUUCGGCUAUCACUUACAGAUGGGCCCGCGGUGCAUUAGCUAGUUGGUGAGGUAACGGCUCACCAAGGCAACGAUGCAUAGCCGACCUGAGAGGGUGAUCGGCCACACUGGGACUGAGACACGGCCCAGACUCCUACGGGAGGCAGCAGUAGGGAAUCUUCCGCAAUGGACGAAAGUCUGACGGAGCAACGCCGCGUGAGUGAUGAAGGCUUUCGGGUCGUAAAACUCUGUUGUUAGGGAAGAACAAGUACGAGAGUAACUGCUCGUACCUUGACGGUACCUAACCAGAAAGCCACGGCUAACUACGUGCCAGCAGCCGCGGUAAUAC